RNAcentral lists this long non-coding RNA (202 nucleotides) under Lathyrus oleraceus (garden pea). Its description in RNAcentral is "Pisum sativum (pea) long non-coding RNA (PSAT_LNC036509)". Lineage: Eukaryota; Viridiplantae; Streptophyta; Magnoliopsida; Fabales; Fabaceae. The record is from RNAcentral.
UUCGAUCAAGAAAUGUAUGGGCAACAAAUAUUCUAGAAAGAAAGUUGAAAUGAAGGAGGUGCAGUGUUAGAACUAUCAAGGAUUUGGUCACUAUGCUCAAGAAUGUCGAAGAAAAAAGGAAACACGAGCAAAAGAUAGUGAUGAAGUGAAGUAUGUACAUGUUGAAGAUGGUGAUUUUGAUGAUGUUCUACUUAUGAUAAAU